CUGACCCCCUGCCUUACAGAAAUCUCUGUUUUUUUCACAUAAUUAUAAAACCCCAAGAGUUUCGCCCGUUUGAGUUAUUUGUUGGCACACAUUCACCAUCCUGGCUCCUUGCUCUCAUUGGCCAAUCCUAAGUAUCUCUGCUGGGGCUUUAAACCAGGCUCUUCCGAGACAACGCAGGAAGCCUGGAAGAAAUUGCCUUUUCCUAGUGAAAUUUCCCUUUCCUAUUGCAGACUACCUGGGAUGACCAGGGUACGCAAACGCGAGCAGCGAGGAGGCAACGCUACCCUGGCUUUCGGUCAUGAAUCAUUUAACCUCGCAUGGAAAGGACAUGAACCAAAAAAAGGGAAUGCACGGGCUCCUGGAACUAAAAAGUCCGCCCAUAUAGCCUCGUUCAGGCAUAGCUCAAUUCAGCGGCUUCAAGCAUGUCACAGGGCUCAGGCUCUCUGGACACGCCUCACCUGUCUUCCUGAGCAAGCUUCCUUCUCAUGGGAAAGACGGUCCCCACAACUCUCAAGCUCCCAGCCUCUCAGCUCCUAGAAUUGAACGCCAUUGGAUCAGUUUGGGUCACGUGCCCAUGCUUGAGCCAAUCACUGUGUCCGAAGGAAGAACUACACUGAUUGGCUAGAUCUGGGUCACAUGCCGGAUGUCGUCUCUGGAGAACGAGGCCGGUGUUGUUUGAAGGAGAUGGACUGAGGAUGUCAGGAGGGACCAUUCAUCUUUAUUCCACUGUGGCUGGGCUUUCAACUCCAAUGCCUCCUCCAACAGCUGGAAUUAUAACAGCUACAGCCAGAAGUCCCAUUUCCCAGCUACUGUCUGAAGAAGGUGUAUAUUCAAAUGCAACUAUUAUAUAUUCCAAAUGUCAUAUUCCUCAACACCUGUUUGAAAGAGCACAUUAUAUCAAGAAGGAACUGUCACCGAAGCUACGAGAAGGACAGUCUCUACCAAAGUGCCGGAAGUCAGGGGACUGUCAGACAAGAAACUGCUGUGUCCUUCUGAGGCUGUCCUUGACCAGGAUGCAGACGGCAGCAGAGGGCAAAACCCAAGAGGGGUGGCAGAGAGUGUCUCUUCAAGGAAGAUAUUGUCAGGAAAUUGAAAAAUUGGGCUACCCCAUCCAGACUGUCUAA
Molecule: long non-coding RNA, 1124 nt
Filed under: Mustela putorius furo (domestic ferret)
Lineage: Eukaryota; Metazoa; Chordata; Mammalia; Carnivora; Mustelidae
Description: lncRNA (ENSMPUG00000028593.1)
Source: RNAcentral